AACCAUCUUCAUGAAAGUUGUUCCUUAGCUCGUGAACUACAACAUAUCCGAAUUGGAGAUCCAUCGGAGCAGUACAACUCCAGAAAUUCAGGUAGUAUGAUGAGUGAUUGUUCGUCAUUUGUAUAUCAACGCGUCAGACUUGUUGUGAGCUUCAAAAACUCCAUUUUUUCUCUUGCUCAGAUCAACAUACUUUCUUCAUCGAAGUUGUUCCUUAACUUGUGAACUACAACAUAUCCAAAAUUGAGAUCCCUCGGAGCUGUAUAACUCAAGAAAUUCAGGUAUGAUGAAUGACUGGUUAUUAUUAUUUUUCUGUCAACCCGUCAGAUUUGUUGUGAGCUUCGAAACUCCAUUUUCUAUUAUUCAGAUCAGCAUGCUUUCUUCAUUGAAGUUGUUCCUCAUCGUCUCUUUCAUAACAUAUCAAAAAUUCAGAAUGAACUAAUGGUUAAAUAUUUCCAGAUCUUCGAAACAUCACAGCAGCUUCGAAAUCUGCAAGAAUCCGACUGUCAUGUUUGGAGCUUCAACACUUUAAUUUCCGUCGCUCAAACAGAAAUGGUUCCUUCUUGAAAGUUGUUCAUAUGCUCAAAAACUAUAGGGUGUCCAAAAUUCAGCUCCAUUGGAGAAGAGCAGAGGUUGCAGAAAUUUGAUAGAUGAAAGGAGGCGGAAGAGGGAGAGAGAGAAAAAGUCUCUUGGGUUGGAUUUCUAUUUUGGGGCAGAUUCCAAUUUUUGUAGCACCUUCAUUAUUGAUGAAUUGCUUGUACUUUUGUCCAUUAAGAAACCUGGGACUUUGGCUUGUUGUUGGAUCUAUUAUAAUAUGUUUGGGAACAUAUAUAAGUGAAUAAAUAAGAAGGAAGAUUUUGG
This 858-nucleotide long non-coding RNA is filed under the name Malus domestica (apple). Its description in RNAcentral is "long non-coding RNA (MDOM_LNC001721)". The record is from RNAcentral. Lineage: Eukaryota; Viridiplantae; Streptophyta; Magnoliopsida; Rosales; Rosaceae.